Molecule: small nuclear RNA, 107 nt
Organism: Otolemur garnettii (small-eared galago)
Lineage: Eukaryota; Metazoa; Chordata; Mammalia; Primates; Galagidae
Source: Ensembl
GUGCUUGCUUCAGCAGCACAUAUACUAAAAUUGGAAUGAUACAGAGACGAUUAGCAUAGCCCCUGUGUAAGGAUGACAUGAAAUCCGGCUCUGUGCUUAAUUGCUAU